This is a long non-coding RNA of Mangifera indica (mango), 1026 nucleotides long. RefSeq lists it as uncharacterized. The transcript has 2 exons. NCBI's taxonomy places the organism in Eukaryota, Viridiplantae, Streptophyta, Magnoliopsida, Sapindales, Anacardiaceae. The record is from RefSeq and is a predicted model, not a curated record.
GUUCCUUCUUACCAAUUAAAAAAAAAAUAUACAUGGGAAAUCAAAGUGUGAAAAGCACAGCUGAUUGGUAGGGUUGGCUUCUUCUGCAACACGAUACAAAAUGGGGUUGAAAAUGAAAGUGCACCAACAACAAAAAUGUGUCAAUGUGACACACACACGCACACCCACACAUGUAUAUGCAUGCUUGGCCUGAAAGGAAAUGUAAAGAUGUGCUGUGUUAAGGCUUUAAGCAACGCCUUGAGCAGUAGCAAGUAGUAGUCUCUUUGUCUCCACUUUUUCUUAUUUUUUUUUUCAGCUUCAAUCUGCAUGAGCCAAGCCACAUCAACUUCUGCAAAUGGGAUGGCUGAAAUCCCUUUUCUCUCCAUUGAAGAAGCUGUGGUUUCGCCUGCACUCAGCUGAGGAAAAGAGGAGAGGGAUCUACAUUCUAUACGAGGAUGUCAAAUCUUGCCCUGAUGAAGAUGUUCAAGUGUUAUGGUCAAUACUAGUGGAGUCACAUACACCUUCCUUGCAUCAAAACAAUGCAUGCCCCCAUGCAUACAGAGCUCACAGAUAAGAGAAAAACUGAAAGCUUUCUGGUCUUGUACAUAACAGAUUUAUGAUGUAUUAUUAUAACAGAGAGAGAGCACAGGUCUGCGAUACAGAAUUUGCAAGAAUCAUAACCCGAAAGCUAGGUGUUGAGAUUGGAAAAGCCAAAGUCACAUAAACCCCACACCACAUAUCAGAGUCCAAGUCUUGUAGCGAUGAUGAUUUUGAUACCAAAUUAUAUACAAAUCUUGAAAAACUGUCUAUACCACAAAAACUAACCCAAAAUUAGAUAAACCCUAUAUUAGAAACUCAUAUUUUUCGAUGUGAGAUUCAGGUCUCCUUCCUUAUACUUAAGAUAGUAAUGUUUUCUUUUAUUUAAGUUCUUCUUUGUAAUUUCUUUUCUAAAACUAGCUGAAGGGCAGUUCUUCUCUUUGAAUUGGCUUCUUCUUAUUGUUGCUUUGUCAGUUUUCAGCAGUUGGAGAUGGAAGUUUGUUUCUUCUU